GACGAACGCUGGCGGCGUGCCUAAUACAUGCAAGUAGAACGCACAGUUUAUACCGUAGCUUGCUACACCAUAGACUGUGAGUUGCGAACGGGUGAGUAACGCGUAGGUAACCUGCCUGGUAGCGGGGGAUAACUAUUGGAAACGAUAGCUAAUACCGCAUAAUAUUAAUUAUUGCAUGAUAAUUAAUUAAAGGUGCAAUUGCACCACUACCAGAUGGACCUGCGUUGUAUUAGCUAGUAGGUGAGGUAACGGCUCACCUAGGCGACGAUACAUAGCCGACCUGAGAGGGUGAUCGGCCACACUGGGACUGAGACACGGCCCAGACUCCUACGGGAGGCAGCAGUAGGGAAUCUUCGGCAAUGGACGAAAGUCUGACCGAGCAACGCCGCGUGAGUGAAGAAGGGUGUCGGAUCGUAAAGCUCGGUUGUAAGAGAAGAACGGGUGUGAGAGUGGAAAGUUCACACUGUGACGGUAUCUUACCAGAAAGGGACGGCUAACUACGUG
This 504-nucleotide ribosomal RNA is filed under the name uncultured bacterium. Its description in RNAcentral is "partial 16S ribosomal RNA". It matches the Rfam family "Bacterial small subunit ribosomal RNA", at positions 28 to 507 of the family's 1533-position model. The record is from RNAcentral.